RNAcentral lists this ribosomal RNA (1269 nucleotides) under uncultured bacterium. RNAcentral's name for it is "partial 16S ribosomal RNA". It matches the Rfam family "Bacterial small subunit ribosomal RNA", at positions 122 to 1399 of the family's 1533-position model. The record is from RNAcentral.
GAACUUGCCUUGCAGUCUGGGACAACGCUCUGGAAACGGACGCUAAUACCGGAUAUUAUGAUUGAAUCGCAUGAUUUAAUUAUGAAAGCUAUAUGCGCUGCGAGAGAGCUUUGCGUCCCAUUACUUAGUUGGUGAGGUAACGGCUCACCAAGACGAUGAUGGGUAGCCGGCCUGAGAGGGUGAACGGCCACAAGGGGACUGAGACACGGCCCUUACUCCUACGGGAGGCAGCAGUGGGGAAUAUUGGACAAUGGACCAAAAGUCUGAUCCAGCAAUUCUAGUGUGCACGAUGAAGUUUUUCGGAAUGUAAAGUGCUUUCAGUUGGGAAGAAGAAAGUGACGGUACCAACAGAAGAAGCGACGGCUAAAUACGUGCCAGCAGCCGCGGUAAUACAUAUGUCGCAAGCGUUAUCCGGAUUUAUUGGGCGUAAAGCGCGUCUAGGCGGUUUGGUAAGUCUGAUGUGAAAAUGCGGGGCUCAACUCCGUAUUGCGUUGGAAACUGCCAAACUAGAGUACUGGAGAGGUAGGCGGAACUACAAGUGUAGAGGUGAAAUUCGUAGAUAUUUAUAGGAAUGCCGAUGGGGAAGCCAGUCUUACUGGACAGAUACUGACGCUAAAGCGCGAAAGCGUGGGUCGCAAACAGGAUUAGAUACCCUGGUAGUCCACGCCGCAAACUAUGAUUACUAGGUGUUGGGGGUCAAACUUCAGCGCCCAAGCUAACCCGAUAAGUAAUCCCUCUUGGGGAGUACGUACGCAAGUAUGAAACUCCAAAGAAAUUGACGGGGACCCGCACAAGCGUUGGAGCAUGUGGUUUAAUUCGACGCAACGCGAGAAACCUUACCAGCGUUUGACAUCUUAAGAAGUUUCUGGAGAUAGAUUUGUGCCGGCUUGCCGGAAUUUAGUGACAGGUGGUGCAUGGUUGUUGUCAGCUCGUGUCGUGAGAUGUUGGGUUAAGUCCCGCAAAGAGCGCAACCCUUGUCGUUAGUUACUACCUUUAAGUUGAGGACUCUACGCGAGACUGCCUGGGUUAACCAGGAGGAAGGUGGGGAUGACGUCAAAUCAUCAUGCCCCUUAUGUGUAGGGCUACACACGUGCUACAAUGGCUGGUACAGAGAGAUGCAAUAUCGCGAGGUGGAGCAAAACUUUAAAACCAGUCUCAGUUCCGCGAUUGUAGGCUGAAACUCGCCUACAUGAAGCUGGAGUUACUAGUAAUCGCGAAUCAGAAUGUGGCGGUGAAUACGUUCCCGGCUCUUGCACUCACCGCCCGUCA